Cinara cedri is the source of this 292-nucleotide non-coding RNA. The record is from the annotation of a GenBank genome assembly. Lineage: Eukaryota; Metazoa; Arthropoda; Insecta; Hemiptera; Aphididae.
AAAAGGUAGGUUAUAAUGAAAUAAAGGAAAAGCAAACAAGCACUGAAUGACAAAUGGCCAAGAUAUGUGAUCGUUUCCUGUUUGUUUUAAAAUAGUUUUCAUCUCCUUUGGAGUUUUAUGUUAAUGUGUAUGCUUUCUCGCGUAAAAUAGUUUUUUAAUACAAAAAAUAUGGAUUAUAGACUAGUAUUUAUCAAGUGCUAACUCUCUCUUACAAUAGUCACGGGCAUUUUUGAUACAGUGAUGUUAGAAGCAGAAGAUAAUCUAUAAAAAAAAUAUCUGGUUUUUAAAUAUA